Molecule: transfer RNA, 72 nt
Filed under: Salmo salar (Atlantic salmon)
Lineage: Eukaryota; Metazoa; Chordata; Actinopteri; Salmoniformes; Salmonidae
Rfam family: tRNA
About the family: Transfer RNA (tRNA) molecules are approximately 80 nucleotides in length.
Source: Rfam by way of RNAcentral
CUCCCUGUAGGUCAGUUGGUAGAGCAUGGUGUUUGCAACGCCAGGGUUGUGGGUUCGAUUCCCACGGGGGGC